UUCAGCCACAAAUAAAGAAUCUGGUGCUAGUGUAGGUGCAGGAAAUUUUGUCAAGAACCAUACAGAAAAACUUGUUCACUUGCCAGAUGUUUCAGGUCAAUUAGCAUCAGUAAUUCCAGCUAAACCAGUCCAGAUUGGAGGACUUGGAGUUUCAAGUGGAGUUGGGAAGCUGGAAUCAUUGCCUACCAUACGUAGUCCACAGUUGUCUUUUCAGGAUGGUUCUGCUCUUGGAUCAUCUCUG
RNAcentral lists this long non-coding RNA (241 nucleotides) under Linum usitatissimum (flax). Its description in RNAcentral is "long non-coding RNA (LUSI_LNC000480)". The record is from RNAcentral. Lineage: Eukaryota; Viridiplantae; Streptophyta; Magnoliopsida; Malpighiales; Linaceae.